GGGCUAUUAGCUCAGGUGGCCAGAGCGCACCCCUGAUAGGGGUGAGGUCCCUGGUUCGAGUCCAGGAUGGCCCA
RNAcentral lists this transfer RNA (74 nucleotides) under Microcystis sp. AICB 679. RNAcentral describes it as "tRNA-Ile". It matches the Rfam family "tRNA". Rfam says of the family: Transfer RNA (tRNA) molecules are approximately 80 nucleotides in length. Lineage: Bacteria; Bacillati; Cyanobacteriota; Cyanophyceae; Chroococcales; Microcystaceae. The record is from RNAcentral.